Molecule: transfer RNA, 70 nt
Filed under: Marmota monax (woodchuck)
Lineage: Eukaryota; Metazoa; Chordata; Mammalia; Rodentia; Sciuridae
Description: tRNA.Ala
Source: RNAcentral
GGGGUGCAGCUCAGUGGUAGAGCACUUGCCUGGCAUGCACAAGGCCCUGGGUUUCAUCCCUAGCAUCACG